UAGGGAAUCUUCGGCAAUGGGGGGAACCCUGACCGAGCAACGCCGCGUGAGUGAAGAAGGUUUUCGGAUCGUAAAGUUCUGUUGUUAAGGAAGAACGAGUGUGAGAAUGGAAAGUUCAUACUGUGACGGUACUUAACCAGAAAGGGACGGCUAACUACGUGCCAGCAGCCGCGGUAAUACGUAGGUCCCGAGCGUUGUCCGGAUUUAUUGGGCGUAAAGCGAGCGCAGGCGGUUAGAUAAGUCUGAAGUUAAAGGCAGUGGCUCAACCAUUGUAGGCUAUAGAAACUGUUUAACUUGAGUGCAGAAGGGGAGAGUGGAAUUCCAUGUGUAGCGGUGAAAUGCGUAGAUAUAUGGAGGAACACCGGUGGCGAAAGCGGCUCUCUGGUCUGUAACUGACGCUGAGGCUCGAAAGCGUGGGGAGCGAACAGG
Molecule: ribosomal RNA, 429 nt
Filed under: Bacteroidota bacterium
Lineage: Bacteria; Pseudomonadati; Bacteroidota
Description: Bacteroidetes bacterium partial 16S ribosomal RNA
Rfam family: Bacterial small subunit ribosomal RNA
Source: RNAcentral